GUGGGGAAUAUUGGACAAUGGGCGGAAGCCUGAUCCAGCAAUACCGCGUGUGUGAAGAAGGCCUGAGGGUUGUAAAGCACUUUUAAUCGGGAGGAACAUCUGAUGGUUAAUACCCAUCAGUCUGACAUUACCGAUAGAAAAAGCACCGGCUAACUCCGUGCCAGCAGCCGCGGUAAUACGGAGGGUGCGAGCGUUAAUCGGAAUUACUGGGCGUAAAGCGUGCGUAGGCGGCCUGUUAAGUCAGAUGUGAAAGCCCCGGGCUUAACCUGGGAACUGCAUUUGAUACUGGGAGGCUAGAGUUUACUAGAGGGGAGUGGAAUUUCCGGUGUAGCGGUGAAAUGCGUAGAGAUCGGAAGGAACACCAGUGGCGAAGGCGACUCCCUGGAGUAAAACUGACGCUGAGGUACGAAAGCGUGGGUAGCAAACAGGAUUAGAAACCCCUGUAGUCC
Molecule: ribosomal RNA, 449 nt
Filed under: uncultured bacterium
Lineage: Bacteria
Description: bacterial SSU rRNA
Rfam family: Bacterial small subunit ribosomal RNA
Source: RNAcentral